AAGGAGUUAGUUAAAAAAUAACCUUAGUAUGUCAAACUAAAAUCACUAGAAGCCUAGUACUUCUUA
Molecule: transfer RNA, 66 nt
Filed under: Platycnemis phyllopoda
Lineage: Eukaryota; Metazoa; Arthropoda; Insecta; Odonata; Platycnemididae
Description: tRNA-Asp
Source: RNAcentral